RNAcentral lists this ribosomal RNA (393 nucleotides) under uncultured bacterium. RNAcentral describes it as "bacterial SSU rRNA". It matches the Rfam family "Bacterial small subunit ribosomal RNA", at positions 9 to 404 of the family's 1533-position model. The record is from RNAcentral.
GAGUUUGAUCAUGGCUCAGAUUGAACGCUGGCGGCAUGCUUUACACAUGCAAGUCGAACGGUAACAGGGAGCUUGCUCCGCUGACGAGUGGCGAACGGGUGAGUAAUGCGUCGGAACGUGCCGAGUAGUGGGGGAUAACGCAUCGAAAGGUGUGCUAAUACCGCAUACGAACUGAGGUUGAAAGUGGGGGACCUUCGGGCCUCACGCUAUUCGAGCGGCCGACGUCUGAUUAGCUAGUAGGUGAGGUAAAGGCUCACCUAGGCGACGAUCAGUAGCGGGUCUGAGAGGAUGAUCCGCCACACUGGGACUGAGACACGGCCCAGACUCCUACGGGAGGCAGCAGUGGGGAAUUUUGGACAAUGGGCGCAAGCCUGAUCCAGCCAUGCCGCGUGU